RNAcentral lists this ribosomal RNA (102 nucleotides) under Cephalotus follicularis. Lineage: Eukaryota; Viridiplantae; Streptophyta; Magnoliopsida; Oxalidales; Cephalotaceae. The record is from RNAcentral.
AGGAGCAAUCAUAUCAGCACUAAUGCACGGGAUUCCAUCAGAACUCCGAAGUUAAGCAUGCUUGAGCGAGAAUAGUUCUAAGAUGGGCUUGUCUUACGACUU